This 591-nucleotide unclassified non-coding RNA is filed under the name Hevea brasiliensis (rubber tree). The record is from RNAcentral. Lineage: Eukaryota; Viridiplantae; Streptophyta; Magnoliopsida; Malpighiales; Euphorbiaceae.
CAUGGGCUUGGCCACAAGGUCUUCAUCUUUCUUCCCUGCAUUUGGAUUGUGCCUGAAAAUCCAUCUCCAACUCUUGAAACUUUUCCUGCUCCUUUUGAUUCCUCUGUCACUAACUGUGAUCCUACAUGAACCUCCAUUAGUGAACAGUCCAUCUCCCACGAGUGUCCCAAAAGGGCCUCCACAUUGAUCCUGUGGCAGAAAAUCACUGCCUCUCAUGCUACCAAAAGCAGAGUUUGAAUCUGACAAAGCACCACCCAUCUUGACAGAAGAUAAAUCUGCCUUGGACUCUGAUGGGAAAUCAAACUUCAGGUCAAUGAAGCCUGAAUCAUCCAUAGUAGUAAAGUUGCCUUCUUUAAGUGAAAAUACACGUCUAGUAUUUGCUCCGCUACUAAAACCAGGAUCAAGCUUUUCGGGAUCUAAAACACUAGCAUCUUUCUUUUCACCAUCGAAGCCGCUUUUUCUUGGUUCUGCUUCACUGAACCCACUUUUUCUAUCAGGAUCAAAGAGUAGACCACCAUUGACACCAGAAUUCCUAGCGGCUGAAAUGGAACUCCUAGCGACUGAAAUGGAACUCCUAGCAGCUGAAAUAGA